Molecule: long non-coding RNA, 324 nt
Filed under: Ictidomys tridecemlineatus (thirteen-lined ground squirrel)
Lineage: Eukaryota; Metazoa; Chordata; Mammalia; Rodentia; Sciuridae
Description: lncRNA (ENSSTOG00000031932.1)
Source: RNAcentral
CUGUCUAACCUUUAUUUUACAGAUCAAUGCAAGUGUGGCCAAGGGACUUGGGUUAUACUUUUAUUGCUGAGUCUGGUUUUCUUGAGUUUCAGGGACAUAGAACAUAUUUGCUGUGGCUGUUGGAGAAGAGGCCAAAAGUCACCACCAAACUCAUCUCCAGGGAACAUUCUCUGUCUGCAACUCUCAAGCCCCAACAGAGUCUUUAUCAAAAGAACCAAUUCAUCAAAAGAGUCUCGUCAUGGUUUACACUUUACUAGUCCCCAAAUCAUUGAGUUAAACUUCCCAUUUUAAUAGAUGAACCAAAUCACCUUGAAUAAAGAUGUA